Molecule: ribosomal RNA, 405 nt
Filed under: uncultured bacterium
Lineage: Bacteria
Description: partial 16S ribosomal RNA
Rfam family: Bacterial small subunit ribosomal RNA
Source: RNAcentral
AUUGAACGCUGCGGCAGGCUUAACACAUGCAAGUCGAGCGAGCGGAAGACGGGUGAGUAAUGCUUAGGAAUCUGCCUAUUAGUGGGGGACAACAUCUCGAAAGGGAUGCAAAUACCGCAUACAAGUAGAGUAGACUAGGGCGGAUUAGCUAGUUGGUGGGGUAAAGGCCUACCAAGGCGACGAUCUGUAGCGGGUCUGAGAGGAUGAUCCGCCAAAUUGGGACUGAGACACGGCCCAGACUCCUACGGGAGGCAGCAGUGGGGAAUAUUGGACAAUGGGGGGAACCCUGAUCCAGCCAUGCCGCGUGUGUGAAGAAGGCCUUAUGGUUGUAAAGCACUUUAAGCGAGGAGGCGUUACUCGCAGAAUAAGCACCGGCUAACUCUGUGCCAGCAGCCGCGGUAAUUC